RNAcentral lists this long non-coding RNA (1361 nucleotides) under Sus scrofa (pig). RNAcentral describes it as "lncRNA (ENSSSCG00065031719.1)". The record is from RNAcentral. Lineage: Eukaryota; Metazoa; Chordata; Mammalia; Artiodactyla; Suidae.
UGUCUGAAUGUUCAUGGAAUGUGCAGUCAAUAUAAUCAUUUAUCUUCCAGUAUCCAGGGUUUCUUAUAAGCCUAAUUCAAAUACUCUUUUUAACUGGUAAAAUUAUUUGACAUAUCUUCUCUUCAGAUUUCAUAGCCUUUCUGUUUUUUUUUUAAUGCAACUUUAAAAAUAAAUUAUUGCAAGCUGUAAAAACGUACUGUUUGAAGAGAAAAUGUCCCCUUCUAUAUUAAAAACCUUCAGUUUUUGAAUUAUCAUUGUCUUAAAGCCUAUCUUCUCAGAGAAAUGUGGUAUUAAAAAUACAUUCAUUUCAUGAGGUGAGAUUAUUAUAGAAAAUAUGACAAAAACUUCUUUCAACUCUGAGACCCAGAGUGAAGUUUCAGACAAACUAAGGUUGAUUUUCAGAGCCCCUCAAUACUUCAGUGUGUGCUUAUGAGGCUGGACUCUCCAGCUGCAUAUCUAUCAGGAGUGGCUGGGGAGGCAUCGGCUUCUAUGUGCUUGCUACAUACUUCCUUGCUGCAAUUGAAUCUAAGUUUUUGAGAGCUAUACCUUAUGAAAUAGAGUUAAUUCCUCAAGAGGAAUACAGAUCUAAGUUCUGUUACUCAGUUGCGGAAUGUCGGGCAUCCUAUCCACGAGCUAUGGAUAGAGGCAAUGAUUUUUUCAAGUAUUUGCUGUCCAGAGUGGUGGUUUCCUCUGUUGGAGGUAUUCCUAAGUACAACGUAGAUGAGGACACAGUGAUUCGUUAUAUAUGGGACGUCCAUCAAGCAGCCGUUGAUGUUGGAAAAUCACAGCUCAGUGAUGUAUCAUUCUAUUCUUCUGAAACUGAACGAGACUUCUUCAUGGACUUUCUACUUGCAGUAGAAUUUUCUGUGGCAACAUUAUAUCGCCCCUACAUUAACAGUACGGCAGAAUUCCUAGUGGGUUUCCCACAUAGGCCACUCACAGACCAGGAUCGUAAUGUUCUUGCAAGUGACGUCACCGUACGGGAAAAAGCAUUUAUGAGUUCAGUGAAAUUCUUUUCGAGAACAAAUGAAGCUACAGGAGGGUUAUUUUUAACAGUUUGGAAGAUAGCCAUGACUUCAGAAGCUGGACGGGCUGCAGGACGAUUCCUCAUUAAAAGGCUUCUUUUAAUACCAAGUCUUUAAUGGCCUUUUUUUAAUGCCACUAUAUAUAAUCAACUUGAUUCCAUGAUUAAACGCAAUUAAACGCACAGUUGACUCAGUUCUUGGCCUAAGUAGAUAUUUUGUAAGUAUGUUCCAAAUGAUUGAGGCUACUCUGAACAAUACUAAAAAGCAUAAAAUGUCCUGUGACUUUGCUGUUAUAGCAAGAAUUCCGGCCAAAAUUCUGAAAUAAACACGAAUGGG